This 237-nucleotide ribosomal RNA is filed under the name uncultured Glomus. RNAcentral describes it as "partial 18S ribosomal RNA". It matches the Rfam family "Eukaryotic small subunit ribosomal RNA", at positions 569 to 809 of the family's 1831-position model. The record is from RNAcentral. Lineage: Eukaryota; Fungi; Glomeromycota; Glomeromycetes; Glomerales; Glomeraceae.
AGCAGCCGCGGUAAUUCCAGCUCCAAUAGCGUAUAUUAAAGUUGUUGCAGUUAAAAAGCUCGUAGUUGAAUUUCGGGGUCAGUAGGUCGGUCGUGCCACUGGUAUGAACUGGUUUUACUGAUUCCUCCCUCUUGAAGAACUGUAAUGCCAUUAAUUUGGUGUUGCAGGGAAUCAGGACUGUUACUUUAGAAAAAUUAGAGUUAGUUUAAAGCAGGCUCACGCUUGAAUACAUUAGCA